RNAcentral lists this ribosomal RNA (779 nucleotides) under uncultured Neocallimastigales. Its description in RNAcentral is "partial large subunit ribosomal RNA". It matches the Rfam family "Eukaryotic large subunit ribosomal RNA", at positions 24 to 625 of the family's 3401-position model. The record is from RNAcentral. Lineage: Eukaryota; Fungi; Neocallimastigomycota; Neocallimastigomycetes; Neocallimastigales.
UACGACUACAUAUCAGGCAUAUCAAUAAGCGGAGGAAAAGAAACUAACUAGGAUUCCCUUAGUAACGGCGAGUGAAGCGGGAAGAGCUCAAAUUUGAAAUCUUCAAGGUUCUACCUUGACGAAUUGUAGUUUAAAGAAGUGUUUUCUGUUGGAGUUUUGGUAAAAGCUCUUUGGAAUAGGACAUCAUAGAGGGUGAGAAUCCCGUAUUUGACCAUUAUUUCCAACUUUGUGAUACACUUUCAAAGAGUCGGAUUGUUUGGGAAUGCAGUCCAAAAUGGGUGGUAAAUUUCAUCUAAAGCUAAAUAUUGGCGAGAGACCGAUAGCGAACAAGUACCGUGAGGGAAAGAUGAAAAGAACUUUGAAAAGAGAGUUAAACAGUACGUGAAAUUGUCAAAAGGGAAGCGUUUGACACCAGUGUUGUUUUCUCGAAAAUCAAUUAAAAAUGCUUGAUUUUGUGUUGUAUUGACCUUAUAAGCUUUCUGCACUUUUUUCAUGUCUUUUUUAAUGCACUUUUCGUUUAACAAGUCAACAUCAAUUUCUUUUGUUGUAAAAGGGUCAUUGGAAGGUGGCUUUCACUUUCGGUGAAAGUGUUUAUAGCCUUUGACUCCUGCAAUCGGAGAGACUGAGGUCUGCAGCGUAGAUCCUUUGGAUUAGAUUACAGUUAGAUGCUAAGUUAUAGCUUUUUCAUAGACAACAUGUUGACUAUGAUUUAAUCAUUGUAGCUUACUCGCUUAUGGUAUUUUACCUACGCUUAGGAUGUUGACGCGCGUGUGUGCGUG